CUAAUAUCGCAUUUAUUUGACAAAGGCUCCAAAGGAAGCCACGGCAAACUCUGUGCCAGCAGCCGCGGUAAUACAGAGGUGGCGAGCGUUGUUCGGAAUUAUUGGGCGUAAAGAGCACGUAGGUGGGUUUGCAAGUCAGCUGUGAAAGCCUUCUGUUCAACGGGAGAAUUGCAUCUGAAACUGCUAAUCUUGAGUAUAGGAGGGGAGAGUGGAAC
Molecule: ribosomal RNA, 215 nt
Filed under: uncultured Planctomycetales bacterium
Lineage: Bacteria; Pseudomonadati; Planctomycetota; Planctomycetia; Planctomycetales
Description: partial 16S ribosomal RNA
Rfam family: Bacterial small subunit ribosomal RNA
Source: RNAcentral